UUCCUCCUCGUCAUCGUCUUCCAGGUUUUCUGUCAAGCAAAAUCCAGACAGAGAUGAAAUAGUGCCCCUUCACCCGUUACAGACACAAAGGCCUGCCUGGGCACGGACAGCAAUGACCUGUGUAUGAGGGCAGGACACACUGAGAGAAUUGCACUGACAGCCCCAUGUGUGACUUUGAAGGAAUGGCCUGGGAUGGUGUCCUGACGCAUCAGGCAAAAUGUCCUUGAUCUGCUGGCUCCCCAUCAUGGCGUGCUCUGAGUUUAACUGGGUAAAGAUCAAAUAUCUUUUGUCUCCAGGUCAUUGGGUAGUUGUCCAGUUUCCCUCUGGAAUUCUCUAGUUCUCUCCUCCUCCUUCCACAAAGCUGGCUCCCAGUCUCAGUGACUCUAUGUCCACUCAGAACGCCCACAUAGACCCUACUCCUUUCUCUAAAAGGAGGAUAGAAAACCCCAUGACUCACCCCUCCAUACAUCCCGGGACUUCACGGGGACCUCCAAGUUGGCUUUUACAUCAUAAGAGGGAAAAAUUUUCUUGUGGAAAGUGUUCUGUUACAAAUCAACGUAUCUGCCCCAAGAUUUUCAGAUUAUAACUAAAUAAACCCCAAACAGUUAGGAGUAUGAUCCCUUUCUGAAGCACAUUCAUGAGCAUUCCCUUCUUUAGUAGUUACAGCUACCAGGCGACACAUCUUUUGACCCAUUUUACAGAUGAGGAGACAGAAAUCCAGGAAGGAGAAAUCAAAUACUCGCCUGUAGCUAUAAAAGCCAGAGCUCAGGCAAGAGCCUGAGGAGCUCUAGCUCAGUCCAGGAUUCUUUUCACUCUAACAAGCUGCCUCCUGUCACGUCCUCCUUUGUGUGCUGUGACACCAGGUGGAGGCUGCCUCCUGCCCCAAAGGGCACGGUCCCUCAGGGCGGAAGCAGGCUCUUGGAGCACUAUGAUGUCCCCCUGUGCAUUUCUCCCCUCUGCUCCCACCCAGCCAGUCGUGGUCCUGUCAUGGCUCCAAGUGCGAUGUGGACACCAGGACAGCUGGUGAAAGUGUUAUGAGGGGAGAUUCCGAGGCUCUUGUCAGCCAGGGACCUUGGAGGGGCUCAGCGCAAUCAGGGCUUCUGGCCGCCUUACCUGGGCUAAGCUUGCGGACAAGGUGCUCUGCCAGCCUGGAUCCCUCAGCCAGUUGUUCUUGGAAGCCCUGUCCCCAGUCUCUGCCAAUGUCACUGUGGGUGAGGAGGUCCCUGAGGUCCUGAUGGAGGAGGACAGAGAGCUCUCUUCCUUCCCGUGACGUCUGGCGUAUCUGGGUCAGCUUUCGUGCAUGAUCAUGAAUGAGGAAAUGGUAUUUCCUAGGCGGGAGGGAAGAGAAAUCCUCAGAGUGGAAAUUGGGUCAUGAGAGAUGAUAAGGAGUUUGAGAGAGAUUUCGGUGAGAAUAUCCCCAAAAGGCCUUCCAAGUAGAAAUCUGCUCAUUUUUGGUGGACUGCAUUUUUUCUUCUUUCCUUUUGCAUGUUACACACAGUGACCCAGUGAAAACAUGCUCCUGAGACACUGGAGACUGGAAGAGAUCUUGGAACUUUAGGCCUCCUUCUCUAAAGGUUGAGGCAAAAUAGGAAUGUUUAUUUAGUCUGGCUACUUUCCUUGUCAUGAAAUACCUGCCAACAUGCUCAGGGCCACAUGCAGAGAGCAGGUAUGGACCUGACUCUGGGUUUUGACCCUCCGGAGGAGAAGAAGGCAUCUCUGAAGGGGCAGGACGUCUCUAGGCCUGGUUACCUCACUGGGAGUGAGACAGACUCCACAUGCUGCAAAGAACACGGACGAUCAAGAUGGGGGGGAGUGGAGGAGACCAGCACAAUCAGCCAGUUUUGUGCCUCCUUGCUUCAGGAAAGAAGCUACUUUUGACCUCUGCGUCUGUUCUUUCCAGAAACCUUCUCUGCAUUUGACUUGUACAUUACCCUCCUCUGAUCCUUCACUGUUACCUGGGGGUCAGUGAUCCCAGUUGUUCUUCAGCCUCCUCUUCGUGGUUUUCUGCAAAGAAAUUGAGAAAAGUCCAUUUAGACAUGAGCUAGUUGCACUUCACCCGUUACAAAUGCAGGUGCCUCUCUCUGCCUGGAGACACGAAUUACCUCUACAUGAGUUCAGAAAGGUGUCGUGUUGUGUCUGUAAAGAAAUGGGCUGCCGUGGUAUUCUGAUGGAUCAGGCAAAGUGGCCCUGAUCUGAUGGGUCCCAGAUGGCAUGCUCUGGUGGAACUGGGCAAGGAGUUAAAAAUUGAUUUGGUUACCCAGAUCAAGAGAUGCUUCUCCAGCUUUCCUAGGGGCUCCUCCCACUCUCUCCUCCCUCCUGCCACAAGGCUGGUUUCCAAGCUCAGUGACUCUGCAUCUCAUCAUGCCUUUCACAGAGAACCUCCUCCUUCUCUCAGGAGAUGAAAAACAAUUCUGUCCCACGAGUCUCACAUGACUUGGUCCUUCGUGGGGACUUCCACGUCUGCUUCUACCGUUCACCAGGAAAAUUCUCUCCUCGUUAAGUGCUAAGUAUUCUAGUGUAAACCCGUAUCCCACUACCAGAUUCUACCAUACCCAGUACUGAAAUCAACCCCAGUGAGUGACCCUAGCAUUGUGAAAGUACGCUCAUAGGCCUUCCCUAUUGGAAUGCUACAGCUACCAUGCAACACAUGUGUUAAUCACGUUAGAGAUUAAGAAACUGAGAUCCAGGAAGGAUACAUCUGUCCCACACCCACUGUUAGAAAAGACAGAACUCAGGCUGGAGCCUGGGAACGUCCACGCUUAGCUCAGGGCCCUUUUCAGCCGAACUAGCUGCCUCCUAUCAUGUCUGCCUUUCUGUGCUCUAAAACUGGGUGGAGGCUGCCCCCUGUCCCAAGGGCCAUGGCAAAUGAGGGAGGAAGCAGGCACUCGGAACACUAUCACCUCCACCUUGUACAUUUCUCCUCUCUGUCCUCCCACCCAGCUGCUCCUGGUCCUGUCAUGACCCCAAGUGCUGAUGUGGAAACCAGGACAGAUGGCAAAAACAUUAUGAGGGGAGAAGUGGAGGCUCUUGUGAGCCGGGGACCUUGGAGGGCUCAGUGCAAUCAGGGCCUGUGGCCGCCUUACCUGGGCCGAGCUUGCUGCCAAGGGCCUGGGACAGCCUGCAUCCCUCAGCCAAUUGCUCUUGGAAGGCCUGCCCCCGGAGGUUGUUAAGGUCACUGCGGCCCAGUAGCUCCUUGAGGUUCUGAUUAAGGAGGACCGAUAGCUCUCUUCCUUCCCGUGUCUUUAGGCAUAACUGGGUCAGCUCUCGUGCCUGAACUCGAAUUAGAAAAUCAAACUCCCUAUGGUGGGUUAGAAGGGAAAAUGUAUAAUUGGAAUUGAGUCAAAGGUUCUUAGGACCUCCACAGAGGUUUCUAUGAGAACAUCCCCCAUUUGCCUUCAAAACAGAAUUUUCAGACAUGUUUGGCAAAAUGCCUAAAUAGUUUUUGAAAGCUCCAUCAGCGGCCAGGGCAAUACAAGCUCCUGAGGGAUUGCAGACUCCAGCGUUCUUUGUACCUUCUAGGCCACCUUCUCUCAGUGUCUAACAUAAUACCACUUUCGGGGGUCUAGUUACCUUCCCUGCUGUGAAAUACCUGCCAACGACCUAAGAUGAACUCUGCAGAAAGCGGAUGUGAAUCUCACCCUGCCUUUAACCCACCAUCCAUGAGAGGACACGUGAUGUCCGGGAGUACAGGAAAUCCAUGAGAGUAGUUGGUUCACCUUGGUUCAGACUAACUCUACAAGUACCAGAAGGAGACUGCACAGCCCCAUUCAGAGGGCUAUGUCGUUGUUGGUUGAGGGAAUGACAGGACUGCAAUCUGCAGGUUUGGGUGACCAUCGCAUCACAGAUGUGGUCACCUUUGUGCUCCUUGAUCUUUCUAGGACCCUUUCCAUACUUUACCUGUCCUUUACCCUCCCCUGGUCGUUCAUUUUGGACAGUGGUUCUCUCUCUUCCACAUACUCCUCGUCUUCAUGACUUUCUGCAGACAAAUUCAGAAACGUCUAGUCAGACAUCGACCCGGCCCUGGUAGAUCAUCACCCCCAUGUCCUCUGCCCUGAGUCGAGCAAACAGUUAAAUACGUCUAUUUUCACCAAAGAUCACAGGGAACAUGUCAGCAGCCUUCAAGAGCUGUUGCUGAAAGAGUCAGCUUGGCCCCAGCAGACACCCUGGUGUUUGGUGAGAUAGGUGGGAUUGUACACCAAGACGAGACUGAUGGAUGGAAUCCAUACACCCCACGGAGGAAAGCGUAUUUGGCGCUUUCCAGAGGCCAGGAUCCUGGGUGAUUCAUAGAGGUGGGGCCACCAGGGCCCAUGCCUUGAUUUCAGCGAAAACUCCAGACAUGGAAAGACAGAGGUAUCUUUGUCUCGUUCCUCAGCAGACUGUUUAGCAAAGACAAGAUAUCUCAGAGGUGAGAGAGACGAGAGUCCAGAGCUGAGGAACCAUGGUAACAACAUCUCCAAAGAGAUAGGCAAGACUACCACCCUACUUGGACAGUCAUUAAUGCUCAGUUCAGGAACUCAAUUAGGAAGAAAAUUACAGGAGAGAUCAGAGGGCCCAUCUUUCUAGAAAGAGCUCAUGGAGACUCGUGUUGAGCAGGAGCAUCAGUGGUGGCUGGAAGCGUGUUAUGGUUUCUUCAAUCUCCCCACUCUGGUUCACCUGGUGUUCACCAGCCUGUGCUUGGCAUUGGGUCCCAGGGUGACAGAGAUUUGGCCUGGGACUCGGAAGAGUGUUGAACUACCUGACCCACCUGAUGUGUGUGCUUAAAACUGAGUCCUAGAUUCUGAUUGAAACCAAGAUGGGUCUCCAAGGCCUGCCAUCAAAGAGACAUUUGUGUACCCGGACAGAGGUGUGAGCACAAAGAACAUGGAGGCUACCUGGGAGACCAUUCGGAGCUUGUCCUCUUUCCAAUAGAGUACUCACGGGCUCCAUCCAGACGAGAGCAGAUUUCAUGCUCAUCAGAUGGGAUGGUGGGACUGUCGGGAGGGUGGCAGGAGUCAGACAAGUCAUGGUGACUGGAAAGAGCCAAAUACUUUUCAUCCAAAGAAUCCUGACACGCAUCAUCCAUUUCCUCCUCCUCCUGCAGCUCCCAGCUGAGCCCAGAGGCACAAAGAUAACAGAAUAUUAAACGAGGAAAGACUGGACACCGCAACUUCCCCACUGGUUCUGAUUGGAAGACUAAGGGAGAGGUCACAGAAGAUGGCUCCCUACUGAGGAUAAACCAACUUAGAGGAGACAGAGACUGCUGUUUGCAGUGGAGCGGGCAUGGCAACGGGGAUGACAGAGAUUUGGCCUGGGACUCGGAAGAGUGUUGAACUACCUGACCCACCUGAUGUGUGUGCUUAAAACUGAGUCCUAGAUUCUGAUUCAAACCAAGUUACGUCUCCAGGGCCAGACUGAAGAGAUGGCAUAUCUUGACCCGGACAGGGACGUGGGGAACAUGAAUAUGGACACUACCUGGGAGACCUGUUGGAGCUUUCUUCUCCUGUUGAUGGGAGUACUCAGUAGCUGCAACCAGAGCAGAGAAGUCUUCGUGCUCCUCAGACAAGAAAACAUGGUUGCUGGUAGGCUCGUGGGAACCAGUCGGGUACUGGUGACUGGAUGAAGUCACAGGGCCUUCAUCCACUGACCCCUUCAGGGCUUCAUUCACACUCUCUUUUUCCUGUAGCUCUGUGCUCAGCCUAGGGGAAAAAGGACAUGAUGAAACCCAGAAGGAUCGGAUGCCAGAGUCCCAGGUGGUCCUGAUUGGUGGUAGAGAGAGUGGUCACAGAAAGUGAGGGACAGUCCCCUCAAAGAGAAAGAAAACAAUCCUCCUAUGAUGAGGGCAUGGUCUGGCUGCCCCUGAGGCGAGGAAAAGAGGGGAGUGGGCGCUCAGUGAACUGGCCAGAUAGCACUCAAUGAGGAAGGAGAAUCAACUCUACCUGGAUGUGUCUGUCUCUCUGUCGCUGUGUAUCGGAAUGGGAAACAUGCUGUCUGUCACCAAGCAGAGCCCAUUGGGGUUAAUUCUGAGUAGAUGGUCUAAUUAUAGUUAGAAGCCAAUGUCUGAAAGGGAUGAUUUUCUUUUGUGACACUGUUUGACCACAAUACUCUUGAAACUCUGGAGAUAAGAUGGCCAAACAAUGGAUCCUUAAGUUAGAAAACUUUUAGAGAGCUCUCUUCAUAAAGAGCUGUUUUACUGGUACCUAUGAGAAGACCAAAUUAAAAGGAAAAUACAACGACUAAUCUCAAAAACGUCAUCAAAUUUGGGGUCUCAGCUUCUUCUUGUGGUCUCACAGAUGCAAAUGGAAACAUCAAGUUAACAAAGAGAAGUGAAGAAGGGAAGAGUGACAGAACUCACUCACUCCAACAGGAUGGCAAUCUUUAGUCAUUAAAAAGAAAGAGCAGGGUGAAUAGAACAGACACAAAUACUGUCAAAAUGAAGCUUUGACUAAAACACUGCCUAAGGUUGGAUGGGCUAAGGGGACCCCAUGUUGGCCCCCAACAUUCAAGAAUAUCAGACAAACUUGUUCUAUUUCUUCCAGUUUGAAAAAUAUUUUAAAAGUCAGUAGACAGAAAUCACAGCGAGAAACCUAUCAACACUUGUUUGGGGCAACAAUUAGGCUGCUCAGGUUGGUACAAGUAUAAAGAUUAAAGUGUUUACCCUAAUAUUACAUGAGGAGAUUAUGUCAACUUUGCCUGGAUGCUUUUUUGGGAUUAAAUAUUAUGCCUAGCUGAGAAUACAUUCCCUACAUAACACUGUAAUACCAAAACUUGUGAGUGAAAUUCUAAUAUAAGUUAUAAUUAGGGGUACAAGAGUUGAAAAAAUUAAGAUAAAGGUUUGUCAAAGUUGGUGUAUGUAAAUAGACCUUCUGUAAAACAAUUACAUCUGUUUUGCUGCAUUGCAUUAUAGAUUCUGUAGUGGGAAUAAACAUUAUGUGUCGCUGGAGAACGUGUCCCUUGCCUGAUAUUGCAAGAGCUCAUAAACCCACCCUUCAGGCUCUGCGAAUCGAACAUGUAGAGGAGAUUUCACUUUACAAUGGCCAAAAUGAGGCAGUUUCAGUUUACUCAAACCGAUACAUGCAAUCGGAACAAGCCAGCUACAACAGGAAGCCUAUUUUAAUCUUUUGAUGCUUCUAAAGAAAAUAAGAAAUAUUUUACUGCCUCUUUAAGAGAAAAAUCAUUAAAUAAUUAAACAUGCCAGGGCAGAAGCGAAGCCUGCUGCUGCUUUCUCUUCUCUCACUGAGAUUUGCCACUUCAACUCCCCCAAAAUGCCUGAUCUGAAACUAAACAGCUGAAAAUAGGCAAACUUUUGAGAUAAUUUGGAAUUAUAAUGGCCACUCUGGGGAACCUCUGCUUCAGAUGAGUCCACCUGAGGGGUCACCCUUCAAAGAGAGGAUUCAAAAUCUCUUCGAACGGAACACAGUCUUUAAUUAAUAUACAGAACCUCCUGAAAGACAAAGCUAUUUAACAGGAUCUAAAAUGAACUUUGGGAAAUAAAAGCCUGUUUAAGUGUGCUGGUUUGAUUUAAAAUAGACGUGUUCUCAGACUUAUCAGCAGUGGAUACAAUGCAGACAUACAGCCUGGGUUUACUCGUCAAAUGAGCUCAUGUUCUCUCUGUUACAACAUUUGUCAACAAGAGUAAUAACUUAGAAUAACAGCUGAUUUUGUUUAAUGUCUCAUGAGGUUUUUGUGGACGAUGUAAAUAUAACUCUUGAGAACGGGUAAACGAAAUAGAUGUAAGUCUGUCACCAUGCAAAGUUGUUCCAAUAUUGUGGACUACCGUCCCUGUGCUCUACAUUCCAACCCCAUGACUUACUUAUUUUGUAACUGGAAGGUUGUACCUCUUAAUCCCCUUCACCCAUUUCACCCACCCCCAACCCCUCCUCCCUCUGGUAAUCACCACUUUAUUUCCUGUUUCUAUGAGUCUGUUUGUUUGGUUUGGUUUGUUUUCUAGAUUCCGUAUAGAGGUGGAGAAAAAGAAACCCUCCUAGACUGUUGUUGGGAAUAUAAAUUGGUGCAGCCACUGUGGAAAACAGUCUGGAGGUUUCUCAAAACCUUUAGAAAGACAGCUUUUUUUCAGAGAAAGUCUGACAAACUGUAGUCAGUCAGGAGGUGAUUGUGAUUAAAGGUAAAUGCGGUAGUGAUUGCACCACAUCCUGAAUGUCCUAAAUGCCAAUGAAUGCUUCACUCGAAUUUAGCCAACUUUAGGUUCUGUGAAUUUCACCUCAAUAAGUUUUAUUUUAAAAAAAGACUCAAGGAACCUUUGAGUAAUUGGAGUCCAUAGUUUACCAAUUAUUGUUCUCUAAUGGUGUUAUGCAAAUUCGUAUGCAUGUGGCUGCCAUGAAAAUUUGGGCCAUUCUCCUGGCCCAGAGUUGCUCCUUGCCCCCUUCAGAGAUGCCUACAACUUCCCAGCAGACGUCCAGCACAGAGCCCCGCUUACUUGAGCUUCUCCGCUAACGUUGACUUCUCUGUGGGCUUCCCCUCCUGGAACUGCAGCUUCUCCCCCAGCACCGAUUCAAUGAUGUCUUUGCACGCUCCAGACUCUGAGGAAAGACAGAGAGGCCGGCCUCAGUGGAAAGCUGGCCAUGCUGCUGGGGUGACUGCCUGCAAGGGAGGAGGCAGGCUUCCAUCUCUUCUCUCAGAGGCAGAUAGAACCCCAGCACCAGGCUCUCCACUGAGAUUUCCACCUUCUAUUGCUCAGCCUCCCAAAUACACGGCAUUUGGUCACUCCUCAUUUGACAGCUGAGCAAAGAGAAGCUCCAAGGCAGAGAAAGUGACCAGACAAGAUUAGCUGACGUUUGGCAAGCUCAGAAUUCACAUGCCCUGAGACUGACGCCGAGUCCUGGGCCACUUUACCAAGACUUGCAGCCUCUUGAGUAAAACACUAAGCAGCGGCAUGAAGUGGCGAUCCCUGUGUGCUCGGGAAGGCCCCUGGGCCUACUGAUUGUUGGGCCCUCUGAGCUCAGAAUUUCAAGGACAAGUACCUUCACGAUGAAAUAUAAAUGUAUACGAAUGCAAUUCUGAAAAAUACAAGGCAUAACCAUCAAUCCCUGAAGGAAAUAGGCACAGGCUGUAGAAGUUGUUUUCAAUUCCAAGUAGUACAAGAAAGAACUAAUAAAUAGUGUUUCCUGUGUGUCAAGAACUGUUUUAGUAACUUUACAGAAAUAACUCAUGUGAUUCAUUGCAACCGCUCAAAGAAGUAGGCACUAUGACAGGGCCAUACUAACAGAGGAGGAAACCGUGAGGCUCAGAAAAAGCCACAGCUUGGAUCUGAGCCCAGGAAGAGUAGCUCAGUCUUCACCAAUGCACUGUGUUACCUCGCCACAAGAUCUUGGGUGACAUCUUUCUCCUUCAUCAUCUUCAAAAUUUGUUUCCUACAGUUAUGUUACGCCUAUAAAAAAAAGCUGUAAGGAAAACUUAGUCCUUUCUCAAAACCUCAUCUCUUCACUUUCUUAAAAAGCAGGUUUCAAUGUUUACUUUUCUCUGCGUCAGUCAUUUGAAGUUCACCACUCCCACGAUGGUUUAUUGGAAAAUAACACCCAUCCAGACUCAGAGUCGUCAAGAUCCCUUCUACUCACUCUGUUUGGCACGAGGCCCUGUUCUCACGAUCCCUUUCGUCACCACAGCCCCUCUUACUGAACAGGUGAUUGAGCUUCCAAUUGCGAGGCUGACUGUGGGAGGGAAGGACCUGUCCCAGACACUGGUUUGAGUUUUUACUGGGGCUGGUGGCCACCCCCACUUAGCGUCAUUCUCACUUGGGCCAUGUCUCACAGCCCAGACCCUCAAGGUCACCCGGACCUGCUGGCAGUCCUGCAUCACCAAAGGUUCACCAGCUCAGAGAGACACAGAAGAGGGGGUACGGAUUGUCUCAUUUCCCCAGAGACACCCUCUACCUCACCCCAAGAGGCAAAGUGGCUUCCUUGGCCUCAGAAAGAAAAGCCUGUGCUCAGGAAGCAUGGCUUCCCGCUCAGCAGGGUCGUCUCUGUCUGGAUGGCGUCACUCAUGGAUACCACAGUGUCACCGAGGAGCACACUCAUCUUCAGGCUCCUGUAAAGCAGGGAACAUCACCUGCUUCCCCCGGUGUGUACCAUCACCCCAUCUCCCCAGUGUAAGGAGCACAGAGCUUUGCCAGUGGGACCUCAGAGAAGCCUGAACUGAUGGAGCUCAUUAGUCCCGGACACUUAGGCCAAGAGUGAUGCAGGAUCUGAUUCCGUACACGGAGGAUGCUGGGAGAAACAGGUUAGCCUGCUCCAGAGGGAAACACGCAGUGCUGUGACUGCACCAGGAAUCAGUCACUGGGAUUUUACCUAAUCCCACCCUACACCUCACUGCCAAUCUGGAAAAGUCCCUCAACUUUUUGGGCCUCGGUUUGUCCAUGCUCAGCAAACUGAGGGUAAAAUACCCACUUGCACCUUCCCUGGACUGUGGUCACAAUGAAGUUUGUGUUGCCUCAGGGAACAGAAGAAAAGGUCUGGAGAGUUUUUAGUUUCUUAGGGGGACACGGUGGUCACUCAUCCCUCUGCUGACCAUGACCCUGUAGGACUUACUGUAUUUCUGCAGCUGGUUGGCCAGGAUGUAGGACAGUGGACUCAGAGACAAGGAACUUCUGUUUGAGGUCUCG
RNAcentral lists this long non-coding RNA (10594 nucleotides) under Equus caballus (horse). RNAcentral's name for it is "lncRNA (ENSECAG00000040767.2)". Lineage: Eukaryota; Metazoa; Chordata; Mammalia; Perissodactyla; Equidae. The record is from RNAcentral.